GAACGGGUGAGUAACACGUGAGUAACCAUGCCCUUAACUCUGGGAUAAGCCUGGGAAACUGGGUCUAAUACCGGAUAGGAGCGUCCACCGCAUGGUGGGUGUUGGAAAGAUUUAUCGGUUUUGGAUGGACUCGCGGCCUAUCAGCUUGUUGGUGAGGUAAUGGCUCACCAAGGCGACGACGGGUAGCCGGCCUGAGAGGGUGACCGGCCACACUGGGACUGAGACACGGCCCAGACUCCUACGGGAGGCAGCAGUGGGGAAUAUUGCACAAUGGGCGCAAGCCUGAUGCAGCGACGCCGCGUGAGGGAUGACGGCCUUCGGGUUGUAAACCUCUUUCAGUAGGGAAGAAGCGAAAGUGACGGUACCUGCAGAAGAAGCACCGGCUAACUACGUGCCAGCAGCCGCGGUAAUACGUAGGGUGCGAGCGUUAUCCGGAAUUAUUGGGCGUAAAGAGCUCGUAGGCGGUUUGUCGCGUCUGUCGUGAAAGUCCGGGGCUUAACCCCGGAUCUGCGGUGGGUACGGGCAGACUAGAGUGCAGUAGGGGAGACUGGAAUUCCUGGUGUAGCGGUGGAAUGCGCAGAUAUCAGGAGGAACACCGAUGGCGAAGGCAGGUCUCUGGGCUGUAACUGACGCUGAGGAGCGAAAGCAUGGGGAGCGAACAGGAUUAGAUACCCUGGUAGUCCAUGCCGUAAACGUUGGGCACUAGGUGUGGGGACCAUUCCACGGUUUCCGCGCCGCAGCUAACGCAUUAAGUGCCCCGCCUGGGGAGUACGGCCGCAAGGCUAAAACUCAAAGGAAUUGACGGGGGCCCGCACAAGCGGCGGAGCAUGCGGAUUAAUUCGAUGCAACGCGAAGAACCUUACCAAGGCUUGACAUGUUCUCGAUCGCCGUAGAGAUACGGUUUCCCCUUUGGGGCGGGUUCACAGGUGGUGCAUGGUUGUCGUCAGCUCGUGUCGUGAGAUGUUGGGUUAAGUCCCGCAACGAGCGCAACCCUCGUUCCAUGUUGCCAGCACGUAAUGGUGGGGGACUCAUGGGAAGACUGCC
This is a ribosomal RNA of 1044 nucleotides. It matches the Rfam family "Bacterial small subunit ribosomal RNA", at positions 100 to 1153 of the family's 1533-position model.